GGGGAUGACAGGAUUCGAAAGAAGCUUUAAUUUAAAUAGUGCAAGCCGAGCUCAAAUCUCGUUAAAAUUUGAAAACUUUAAUAAGUGCCAACUUAUUCAAGAAACCUGCGUUAGCGUUUGCCUAACGCCAUCCACUUCGCCACAUUCUCAAUAGGCGAAUCCGGGUGUCAUACAUUGAGAUAGAUAAUUCUUUUUACCCAGCCAUAGCUUUAGCGAAGGCGGGUUGUCUCGAAAGAACUAUUAAAAAAAUAGAGACAAAAAAUUCUCUGCCUUAGGCAGAUAAACUUGUAGAGCUAUCUAAAUUAAACUUUUUGACGAGGGUUCAACUCCCUCCAUCUCCACCA
RNAcentral lists this transfer-messenger RNA (344 nucleotides) under Candidatus Nealsonbacteria bacterium RBG_13_37_56. It matches the Rfam family "transfer-messenger RNA". From Rfam's summary of the family: Bacterial tmRNA, also known as 10Sa RNA or SsrA, is named for its dual tRNA and mRNA-like properties. Its role is to liberate the mRNA from a stalled ribosome. RNAcentral also lists the same sequence under 1 other name. Lineage: Bacteria; Candidatus Nealsoniibacteriota. The record is from RNAcentral.